GGGUGAGUGUCCCCUUCCUCCCUCACUGCUCCAAGUGCAUCCCAUCUGAAGCUGCACACUCAGGCAAAGAGGAUGAUUUUUCCUGCUACAGAAGGAUCAUUCUUUGGUCAAGGAUAUACAAGUAACUGCACUCCCCUGUUAGAACCUUCAGACAAGCUACAUGUUUAAUUUUAUGGUAGAUCUUUAUCCCUUUAUACCUCCUCAAUCCACUGUCUAGUG
RNAcentral lists this small RNA (219 nucleotides) under Dasypus novemcinctus (nine-banded armadillo). RNAcentral's name for it is "7SK RNA (ENSDNOG00000029630.1)". It matches the Rfam family "7SK RNA", at positions 77 to 331 of the family's 331-position model. Rfam says of the family: 7SK was discovered as an abundant small nuclear RNA in the mid-70s but a possible function has only recently been suggested. Two independent studies have found that 7SK RNA binds the CDK9/cyclin T complex (known as elongation factor P-TEFb). Lineage: Eukaryota; Metazoa; Chordata; Mammalia; Cingulata; Dasypodidae. The record is from RNAcentral.